AAAUAAUAUUUUUUCAACCGAUCAAAAGCGAUGAUACGUGGUACGAAAAAUGCUUUUUUGUUACACUUAGGGAAAUGCAAUUAAGGAUUCCAAAAGGUUUCAACCCAGCCUUGAUAGUUCUACUUGUUAUUGUUGGGUUGCUAUUGACAUUCCUAAUUGGAAAUAAUGUGCUCUACAUAUAUGCAGAGAAGAUUAUACCUCCUAGAAAGAAGAAGCCAGUUUCAAAGAAGAAGCUGAAAAGAGAGAGACUGAAGCAAGGUGUUUCUGCACCCGGAGAGUAGAGAUUGUUUUUUUGGUUUCCCACAGGUAUCCUCGCACUGGAGGCAAUCCUGUCCGAGCCGGGAACAUGAGAGUAGAGUAGAGUAGAGAUUUCAUGCUUUGACUCAUAAAUGAAUUAGUACUUUAGCAAUAUAUUUGAGACAAUGUCUUCUCUCAUAUCCCAAACAGAAAAGAAAAUAUCCAAUUGAAGUUAAAUAUACACUCAAACAUAAAACUAUCAUUGGCAUCACCAUGCAAUUCUCAAUAUACACACAUGUUUUCUGUAUACCAGAUACCAACUUCUCAAAAUCAUUACAUUCUCUUAGAAGAAAAUAUAUAUUGUUUCUCUAUGAGAGCCAUAAUGUCUUAACUUGCUUAUAACACUUCUUCAUCCAUGCACUUUCUUAACCUGUAAUAGAGAGGCAUUAACAACUAGAAAAUUAUACAAUGUAAGAGACAAGAAAAGCAGAAUGAGGAAACUAGUUAUAUAUGCUUAACUAUACUAACAAUAUUCAACAACAAAAAAAGAAUUAUAUAUGGUUUCAUUAUAUAUUAUUAUCUUCCGCAUAUAUAUAAUUGGGUCAUGGAUAUGUGGAAGAUAAUUGAUUAGUUACAUGUAUAAUUGUAUAGCAUGGUUCAAUUAUCAAAUUGGUUACAUGUUACCCCAUCUAAGUUAUACAUGUAAUGACUUUGUUACCAUGAAAUUCUUGGUUUAGUUCAGAGCCAAAUUUAUGUGUUUCUGUAAAACACUCAUAAAGACAUGAGUGUUGAAGUGGGGUAUGUGUCAUGAGUAUCGAUCAUCUUCAUUAAUAAAGAGACAAGUUCUUGAAAAUCAAAGAAAAUCUAUGAUAUAAUGACACAUUUAUCCUUUUAACUAUAAUAAAAUAACAUAUUUGUCAUUAAAAAUAUAAGAAAAUUGAAACAUUUGUCUCUCCAAUCCAGUACUGGACAGGAUUCCUAUUCCAAUUUCAUAUUCUCUAUCUUAUUUCUCAUAUAUUAACCAUAAACACUUAAAAAAUGAUUUUGAUCUUAAAAGAACUUGAUCUUAUUUCUCAUAUACAUUGAUCUCUCUUUUACUAUUCCUAAGAUUUGCACAAGAUUCUCUUUUACAUCAUUUUUGUUCUCAAACCACAUUCUCUUAUUCCUUUUUUCCUUCUAAUAAAAACCCAUAAUUUUUUUUUUCUUCAAUCAUUUUUCUCAACUCCUAUACCAUAAGAUUCAAUGGUUUUCAAAGAGCAUAAAAGAUAGAUCACUUACCCUAUCUUCCUUAAUAGCAUUGCUACCCAUUAAGCCAUGAGAAUGAUCAGGAGGAGGAACAGAUGAAUGUGUCUCAGGACCUCUAUAAUCAAUCUCAUAUAUCUCUGAAUCCAUUGCUUCAGAUCGUGUUCCUCCUACAACAAUUACAUUAAAUAUAUAUGUAAAUAUAUAAUUAAAUAGGUAUACAAAAAGAGAGUGCAUGUGCAUGUGCAUGUUAGUAGAAGAUACAAACCUAUUGAGAAAUAAGGAAGAGUAAGAAUGAGAAUGAGAAAGAAGCUAGUGAUGAAAGUGGACCUUCGCUCCAUAUAUGUUAUGCAGAAAUUUCUUAAUGUUUUUUGUUCUAAGAGUAUAGUCUGAAGUUUUGUUCUUUAUAGAGAAGAAAUUGAAAAAAAAGUUAAGGGUUUUAAUGAGAUUAGAAUUAUAGUGGGGACUAUAUAGGUAGAUUCAAUGAAGAAACAUGGACAUGGCAUAGCCAAGAAGCUAGAGAAGUUUUUAGUGUAGAUUUCAUUGCUUUUUCUCUAUUUUUCUUGCUUUAGCUUAUUGCACUAUCAACACAGCAAUAAGUGCAUAGGUACAGUUGUGG
Molecule: long non-coding RNA, 2098 nt
Filed under: Lupinus angustifolius (narrow-leaved blue lupine)
Lineage: Eukaryota; Viridiplantae; Streptophyta; Magnoliopsida; Fabales; Fabaceae
Description: long non-coding RNA (LANG_LNC000890)
Source: RNAcentral